Molecule: ribosomal RNA, 692 nt
Filed under: uncultured archaeon
Lineage: Archaea
Description: bacterial SSU rRNA
Rfam family: Archaeal small subunit ribosomal RNA
Source: RNAcentral
GGAUAACUUACCCUUAGGACUGGGAUAACUCUGGGAAACUGGGGAUAAUACUGGAUAUUAGGCUAUGCCUGGAAUGGUUUGCCUUUGAAAUGUUUUUUUUCGCCUAAGGAUAGGUCUGCGGCUGAUUAGGUCGUUGGUGGGGUAAUGGCCCACCAAGCCGAUGAUCGGUACGGGUUGUGAGAGCAAGGGCCCGGAGAUGGAACCUGAGACAAGGUUCCAGACCCUACGGGGUGCAGCAGGCGCGAAACCUCCGCAAUGUACGAAAGUGCGACGGGGGGAUCCCAAGUGUUAUGCUUUUUUGUAUGACUUUUCAUUAGUGUAAAAAGCUUUUAGAAUAAGAGCUGGGCAAGACCGGUGCCAGCCGCCGCGGUAACACCGGCAGCUCGAGUGGUAGCUGUUUUUAUUGGGCCUAAAGCGUUCGUAGCCGGUUUGAUAAGUCUUUGGUGAAAGCUUGUAGCUUAACUAUAAGAAUUGCUGGAGAUACUAUUAGACUUGAAGUCGGGAGAGGUUAGAGGUACUACCGGGGUAGGGGUGAAAUCCUAUAAUCCUGGGAGGACCACCUGUGGCGAAGGCGUCUAACUGGAACGAUCUUGACGGUGAGUAACGAAAGCCAGGGGCGCGAACCGGAUUAGAUACCCGGGUAGUCCUGGCCGUAAACGAUGUGGACUUGGUGUUGGAAUGGCUUUGAGUUG